Molecule: long non-coding RNA, 1566 nt
Organism: Papaver somniferum (opium poppy)
Lineage: Eukaryota; Viridiplantae; Streptophyta; Magnoliopsida; Ranunculales; Papaveraceae
Exons: 8
Source: RefSeq, a predicted model, not a curated record
CCCUUUUCUCUUUCUCAACUCAUCCUUUUCUCUCUUCAACUCUGCAAACCCAAAAACACCUCCUUUCCCCUUUCCCAUAUCUUUCUGUCUUCAAAUCUGCAGACCUGAUAACUUAUAAUGAAGUUUAUCUGCUCAAAAUAAAAAAAUCCUAGAAUUAAAUUUCCGUUUACCUCUCAAUAAAAAAACACCCAGAUCUGAAAAACCAUAGUUUGAAUCGAAGAGGAAACAAAAGAUCAGAAUCCUUUUUCGGUUUUUAUUUUUCGUUUCAUUUUCUAAAACUAAGAACUUGUUACUUGUGUUCUUGUGAAAAGAAGAAAUAUGGCUAACUGAUUUCGAUGGCCAACUGAUGCAUGGAGGUUGAGUCUUUGGGUUCUAAAUGACUACAAUACAUUUAUUUUCACUGGUCCCAGUGCCGAAGAGGAGCUGUAAAUGGAAUUUCAUCAACUGCAAUAUCUUUAUUCAAAGUAUUCGGUCCAGGUAGUGGUGGUGCCACGUCUAUAUGAUUGAUCAAACUGCUGACUUGUUUGAUCGUUCUUCUAUACUGCGAAGUCAUUCUUUGAUUCGGAUAACACAAACAAUGAGCUCAAAAAUGAAUUUGAAGGACCUUUAUCUUAACUCAACAGUCCAAGAAGAGAAGCUUGCUGCUGGUCAAAGUGUGAGUAGGAAGGUUGUAAUGUUGAAGACUUAAAAGAGUUUAGGAAUGAUUAGGAGGUUUGGUUUGUCUCAAAAUGAAACUCUUAAUAAGGAAUUAGGGAAGAUUCGGAACAAGAAAACAACGAUAAAUGGUACGGUUGGCUAUCAAUGGGGUUGUAAACAAUUUGCAUAACUAUAUAAAAAGAAUUGGCUAUUCGUGUUUGUAGAGCUCAACAGAUGUUUUGUUACUGCUGAUAUCGGUGCCCUGCUUUACCAAGGCUGCCACGUAUGAAGAUUACUUCACAACUAGUGUACGCCUUUCUAUCUAUUCCCAUAAAUAUGAUUUAUUGAUGUUUCAGAUUAUUCAACCAGUAAGAGUGAUACUUCUUCGUGUAGUAUUUUCACUUCUUACCAAGUCAGAUUGGUGUAUAUCAAAAUUCAGAAGCAUGUGGAUCAGGAAUUAAGUUCCAAUUGUAGAUUUUAUCAGUAUUCGUUCAAUUGAAUUCAAGCAAGCACUCAAACUACUGUAAACUGCAUUCUAGAUUGCAAACACCAGUAUAUUCGGCCAUGCAACCCAUUUAUAUAUGGUUGUUCCAUUUCAAGCUUUGAUAAUGUGCAUAUGAUAUGGUCCUUUUUUAUAAACAUUUUAUAUAGUAUUGUGACCUCCCACAUUAAUCAGCUGAUGGUGGAACUUAUUUUUGAUGUACAUGUGCACCAUUACGAAGCAUAUGCUAAGUUCAUCAUCAUCGGAGUUUAUCGUUUUGCUGUCUAAUCAAUCGUUUCUUAGUUUAUCAUUUUGUAACUAAAUCCCAGAACUUAGUUACUUUUCUUGUUGUAAGAACUUAUAUUGGUCAGAACUCAAGACUUGUUCUUUUUUGUAUUAUUUGUGUGCAAGUUUAAUUUGAGUUUGAUUUGGUUCUCAUUUGAGUUUCA